This 253-nucleotide ribosomal RNA is filed under the name uncultured bacterium. RNAcentral's name for it is "partial 16S ribosomal RNA". It matches the Rfam family "Bacterial small subunit ribosomal RNA", at positions 524 to 776 of the family's 1533-position model. The record is from RNAcentral.
UACGUAGGGGGCAAGCGUUGUCCGGAAUCAUUGGGCGUAAAGAGCGUGUAGGCGGUCCUGUAAGUCCGCUGUGAAAGUCAAGGGCUCAACCCUUGAAUGCCGGUGGAUACUGCAGGACUAGAGUCCGGAAGAGGCGAGUGGAAUUCCUGGUGUAGCGGUGAAAUGCGCAGAUAUCAGGAGGAACACCGAUGGCGAAGGCAGCUCGCUGGGACGGUACUGACGCUGAGGAGCGAAAGCGUGGGUAGCAAACAGG